Molecule: long non-coding RNA, 826 nt
Organism: Mastomys coucha (southern multimammate mouse)
Lineage: Eukaryota; Metazoa; Chordata; Mammalia; Rodentia; Muridae
Exons: 6
Source: RefSeq, a predicted model, not a curated record
CAUUUUUCCACCAUGAAUAAACAGUUUGGACAAGCAAGGACUGUCUCCUUUGUCAAGAACCAGUGUCCCUGUCAGGGGUGAAGUGGCAUCCUGAUAGCCCAGCCGUGAGGUGAAACGCAUACCUCUCCUCUUCCUCCCUGCCCCCACUUACUUUGUCUCUCUUCUGGAUUCCUUGAGUUACUCCUGGAUAUGUACUCACAUCUGAAGAUUUGGACCUAGGAGUCUCAGCUGAGUAGUAUUCCCUCUGUACCACAGUUUCAUUAUCUACUCAUCAGUGGAAGAACAUUUAGUUGUUUGCAUUUCCUCAGUAUUGGGAAGAGAACAGCAACAAGCACGGCUGGCCCUUGGCUUUAAUGAACAAAAGAAUGAAGAAAAGCUCCGAAGCCCAACUUCAGUGAACACAAGGUCCAGAUGUCUGUGAGAGGAAUCUCUGUUUUAGACAGUGGCAGAACAGCCAAAAGGGAGUCAUCCCAGGCCUUUGAUGUAUGUUGGGCCCUCUUGCUCACUGCCUUCUGUUCUUACUUGACUCUUUGCUGCCAUGAAUGUCAAGCCUGCCAUGGCUUGGCUCAAUCUUGGCCAGCAGAAGAUGGAGGGAAAGGCUUCCCGGAACACAUGGAGCAAAAUCAGGAAAGUGACCCAAGUGAAGGUAAGCCCAGAAGAAGAUUCGCAGCAUGGCCCUUCCAGCUGGAUGCUCUCCUGCGAUGACUUCAUGGCUUCUGGGCUAAGUGACCAACACUGACUGGGAGGGACUUUUACCCACAUUUUUGUCUUCUGGCUCUUGCUCUGCAUAGACUCACUUUGCAAAAAUUCAAACAACAGCAGCAAA